AAUGGGUUGUUACGGGUGGUUGGAUGCCUGCUUGUGCAGCAACGUCCAUCCGUGCAUACCUCUUCAUUAGUGCGGCAAGGCAUACGCGGCCUUGAGCAUUUGUUGGGUUCCUUGUGUUGCAUACCUGCUUGAUGGUAUUGCUUUGUCCUAUCGAUGGCCCUUUUCGUUGGACGUCGCUCAUGUGGCGUCGGAUGAACCUAGAAGCGAUCCCUUUGAUCCAUGUCAUUGUUGCAUUUGCGUCGUUGGCAUGGCUUAUUGGGUGUUGCUUGAUUUCUUGGAUGCAAAACCUUAUGUGGGUAUGUGGUCUCUUAUGACCUCGUGUUUACCUUACCUAAGCGUUCUUGUUCUUUGAAACGACUGUUUGGUUAUGCGUUGACAAGCUCAUGCCUGGCCGAUGAU
Molecule: unclassified non-coding RNA, 399 nt
Filed under: Chaptalia hieracioides
Lineage: Eukaryota; Viridiplantae; Streptophyta; Magnoliopsida; Asterales; Asteraceae
Description: partial external transcribed spacer
Source: RNAcentral